CGCCUCGGCCGCGCGGGCCGCCUCCCUCAGCGGCAGCGAGCCCCGGCCGCCCGCCCCUUUCCCUCAGCACAGGGCCCAGCCCGCCAUUGCCGCCCCCGAGGCCGCUUUCCCGCAAUAUCCCCUCAGGGAGAGCCCCGGGCCGCCAUCACCCACCCCGAAGGCCACUGGAAAAGCCGCAGCCCGUCAUCGCCCUGGAGGCUGCUUUCCCUCACCCCGCUGCCUUUUAGUUACCAGAGGAGAGCUCCUUCAGAAGCAAGAGCAGGACCAUCCAGCCUCCUCCCACACACCCACCGUAAGCAGUCUGCAAGAAGCCAGGGCAGCUACAGAAGUAGCUGGAGACCUGCAGCAGGCAGGCUGCAAACACGGCUGGAGGGAUCAGCCUGCAAUCACAGAGGAAAGCUUGGGACGCCGAGGUUCCACUGCCAGCCCGGUGGCCCACACCUAACCCACGUACCUGCUCCAUGGUGUACCUAAAGUAAGCACAGUUGUUCCAGGCCAAAGCCAUCUCUACGGGACAGAACACACCAGGUUUGGAAAGUGCAAGGUGUGCACUGAAACAAGCCAACCACCCACAAGGAAAACCGACGGACUGAGCAGUGCUCUGCCUGAGGAUCUCGGUGCGAAGGGGACAACUGCAAGGAUAACUUCUUUCUCCCACCCACCCAGGAUUUUCACUAUACCAGUGAGUAAACAUCCAAAUAUCUUGUCCACUGCAUCUACAAAAAUUAACUUUCCUAACUGCUAUAUGCAUUUACUUUUAUAGAAGGUAUUUUACUUCUGAAUGGUCCUCCAAAGGGCCUGUCCAAGCAAUUUAUUAACAUGAAAUUUUAAUAUUCCUUUACAAAACUAACCCAGACUGGUUUAGGAAACUGAAAAGUAAAUCAGACCAAUCUAGUCUUACUGUUCAAAUUAUGUGAAAUGCAAGAAGCCGAUUAAAUUAACCACAAAACCAGAUGCAUGUACAUUUAAUACUCUACAGCUGCUUUACUGUCAUCAUCUUUGGAAAUGAGUCUAAAUGCACAACUGGCCUCCUUACAUUUGCUUUUUGGUAAAAAAUACUCUUUUCCAAAUUCCAAGUAAUUGGGC
Grus americana (Whooping crane) is the source of this 1086-nucleotide long non-coding RNA. RefSeq lists it as uncharacterized. The transcript is spliced from 3 exons. The record is from RefSeq and is a predicted model, not a curated record. NCBI's taxonomy places the organism in Eukaryota, Metazoa, Chordata, Aves, Gruiformes, Gruidae.